Molecule: ribosomal RNA, 478 nt
Filed under: uncultured bacterium
Lineage: Bacteria
Description: partial 16S ribosomal RNA
Rfam family: Bacterial small subunit ribosomal RNA
Source: RNAcentral
GACGAACGCUGGCGGCGUGCUUAACACAUGCAAGUCGAACGGUAAGGCCCUUCGGGGUACACGAGUGGCGAACGGGUGAGUAACACGUGGGUGAUCUGCCCUGCACUUCGGGAUAAGCCUGGGAAACUGGGUCUAAUACCGGAUAGGACCACUGCCUGCAUGGGUGGUGGUGGAAAGCUUUUGCGGUGUGGGAUGGGCCCGCGGCCUAUCAGCUUGUUGGUGGGGUGAUGGCCUACCAAGGCGACGACGGGUAGCCGGCCUGAGAGGGUGACCAGCCACACUGGGACUGAGAUACGGCCCAGACUCCUACGGGAGGCAGCAGUGGGGAAUAUUGCACAAUGGGCGCAAGCCUGAUGCAGCGACGCCGCGUGAGGGAUGACGGCCUUCGGGUUGUAAACCUCUUUCAGCUCCGACGAAGCGCAAGUGACGGUAGGUGCAGAAGAAGGACCGGCCAACUACGUGCCAGCCGCCGCCGUAA